RNAcentral lists this ribosomal RNA (492 nucleotides) under uncultured bacterium. RNAcentral describes it as "partial 16S ribosomal RNA". It matches the Rfam family "Bacterial small subunit ribosomal RNA", at positions 29 to 507 of the family's 1533-position model. The record is from RNAcentral.
AGUGAACGCUGGCGGUAGGCCUAACACAUGCAAGUCGAACGGCAGCACAGUAAGAGCUUGCUCUUACGGGUGGCGAGUGGCGGACGGGUGAGGAAUACAUCGGAAUCUACUUUUUCGUGGGGGAUAACGUAGGGAAACUUACGCUAAUACCGCAUACGACCUACGGGUGAAAGCAGGGGAUCUUCGGACCUUGCGCGAUUGAAUGAGCCGAUGUCGGAUUAGCUAGUUGGCGGGGUAAAGGCCCACCAAGGCGACGAUCCGUAGCUGGUCUGAGAGGAUGAUCAGCCACACUGGAACUGAGACACGGUCCAGACUCCUACGGGAGGCAGCUGUGGGGAAUAUUGGACAAUGGGCGCAAGCCUGAUCCAGCCAUACCGCGUGGGUGAAGAAGGCCUUCGGGUUGUAAAGCCCUUUUGUUGGGAAAGAAAAGCAGCAGGUUAAUACCCCGCUGUUCUGACGGUACCAAAAGAAUAAGCACCGGCUAACUUCGUG